RNAcentral lists this long non-coding RNA (266 nucleotides) under Vigna radiata. Its description in RNAcentral is "long non-coding RNA (VRAD_LNC007690)". The record is from RNAcentral. Lineage: Eukaryota; Viridiplantae; Streptophyta; Magnoliopsida; Fabales; Fabaceae.
CAUGGCACCUUUCAGAAAAGGGUCAUGUAGCCCAUAUAAGUUAGUAAAUAUCCUGUCCUCAUCCUUAAGGCCACCAAAAUGGGUUUUUUCUGGUGGUGGAGGAGGCGGUGGCGGCUGUGGUGAAGCAGGUGGCGGUGGCGGCUGUGGUGAAGUAGGAGUAGAAGCACCCUGAGUGCUAAAUUGUCUUAAACCAAGACCCAAUUUCUCACUACGAUGUUGAACCAAGGCUGACCUUAGUGAAAGAAUUCCCCUCAUGAUUGCCUUAC